RNAcentral lists this ribosomal RNA (510 nucleotides) under uncultured bacterium. RNAcentral's name for it is "partial 16S ribosomal RNA". It matches the Rfam family "Bacterial small subunit ribosomal RNA", at positions 28 to 507 of the family's 1533-position model. The record is from RNAcentral.
GACGAACGCUGGCGGCGUGCUUAACACAUGCAAGUCGAACGAAGAGCGAUGGAAGCUUGCUUCUCUCAAUCUUAGUGGCGAACGGGUGAGUAACGCGUAAUCAACCUGCCCUUCAGAGGGGGACAACAGUUGGAAACGACUGCUAAUACCGCAUACGAUCUAAUCUCGGCAUCGAGGAUAGAUGAAAGGUGGCCUCUACAUGUAAGCUAUCACUGAAGGAGGGGAUUGCGUCUGAUUAGCUAGUUGGAGGGGUAACGGCCCACCAAGGCGAUGAUCAGUAGCCGGCCUGAGAGGAUGAACGGCCACAUUGGGACUGAGACACGGCCCAGACUCCUACGGGAGGCAGCAGUGGGGAAUCUUCCGCAAAGGACGAAAGUCUGACGGAGCAACGCCGCGUGAGUGAUGACGGCCUUCGGGUUGUAAAGCUCUGUUAAUCGGGACGAAAGGCCUUCUUGCGAAUAGUGAGAAGGAUUGACGGUACCGGAAUAGAAAGCCACGGCUAACUACGUG